GAUCAUGGCUCAGGAUAAACGCUGGUGGCGCACAUAAGACAUGCAAGUCGAACGAACUUAACCAUUAGUUUACUAUUGGAGCGGUUAGUGGCGGACUGGUGAGCAACACGUAAGCAACCUGCCUAUCAGAGGGGAACAACAGUUAGAAAUGACUGCUAAUACCGCAUAUGCCUUAGAAUCACAUGGUUCAAAAGGGAAAGGAGCAAUCCGCUGAUAGGUGGGCUUGCGU
RNAcentral lists this ribosomal RNA (229 nucleotides) under uncultured bacterium. RNAcentral's name for it is "partial 16S ribosomal RNA". It matches the Rfam family "Bacterial small subunit ribosomal RNA", at positions 15 to 236 of the family's 1533-position model. The record is from RNAcentral.